Long non-coding RNA from Empidonax traillii (willow flycatcher), 640 nucleotides. RefSeq lists it as uncharacterized. Lineage: Eukaryota; Metazoa; Chordata; Aves; Passeriformes; Tyrannidae. The transcript has 4 exons. The record is from RefSeq and is a predicted model, not a curated record.
CUCCGGUGCCAGGGCCCCCCUCAGCCGCCUCCCGCUCCCCGGCAGCGCAUCGGCCCGUCCCAGCGGACUAGGGAACCUCACGGCUGCUCCGGGCCCGAAGGAUUUAAAGCGGAUUGAAGUGAUGUGGAGAGCCCUGUGUGCCCUGGUGGUACGGGGGAUGUAAUCAGGAGGCAAGGAGAAGCAAAGGAGGAGAGUAUUGCCUCAUCUUCUGCUCACAACAAGCCCAGGCCACCUGGCAUAGGAGGGGUAUGGGCAUAGCAGAGAGCAUGUGAAUCACCCUGGACGUGCAGCUCAGUGCAGAGAUCUCUGGAGUAAUCACCCCACCUUCCCAUCCUGAGCUGCAGAACUCAACAUGUAUAAGUCAGUAUUCGCAAAGAUACCAUCCCAGCAUGGAAAGAUUGUCAGCUGCAUCUUAGCUUUGGGACAAACCUGCUCACAAAGAGACCAGUGGAAGUCACUCUUUUUGCGAAUUUCAGGUGAGCUUUAGAUGGGUCAGAUCCCAGAGUUCCUGUGCCCAUCUUUAGCAGGAAAUCACCCACUCUCCAAUAAAAGCUUCAGAUUUCUUUUUUGGCACAUGACAAGCAGAGCAUCCGCCGUGCUUUACACAACCACCCUACUUCCUUUCACAUUAAGCUGUAAA